UCAAGCUACUAAGUGCAAAUGGUGAAUGCCUAGGAGCCGGGAGGCGAAGAAGGACGUGGUAAGCUGCGAAAAGCUGCGGGUAACUGCAAACGAGUACCGAUCCGCAGAUUUCCGAAUGGAGCAAUCCGGCAGUAGUAAUGUGCUGUCAUUUCCGGAUGAAUGGAUAGUCCGGAGAAGCAAGACGGGGUGAAGUGAAACAUCUCAGUAACCCCAGGAAAAGAAAAUGACAAUGAUUCCGUAAGUAGUGGCGAGCGAAAGCGGAAGAGCCCAAACCGGGGGGAUUUAUCCUUCCGGGGUAGCGGGACCACCAACAAAUCCAGACCGAAGGCGAGCUGAACGUUUUGGAAAGAACGGCCACAGAGUGUGAAAGCCACGUAAGCGAAGUUGGAAGUCGGCCGGUGGGAUCCCAAGUAAUGCGGUGUAAGUGGAACUCUGCAUGAAUCUGUCCCGACCAUGGGAUAAGGCUAAAUACUACCCGGCUACCGAUAGUGAACAAGUACCGUGAGGGAAAGGUGAAAAGAACCCCUUCUAGGGGAGUGAAAAGAAUCUGCAACCAUUUGCAUACAAAGUGUGGGAGCGCCAAAGAGGGCGUGACCGCCUGCCUUUUGCAUAAUGAGUCUGCGAGUUAUUAUCAGUAGCAAGCUUAAGGGAUGAGAAUUCCGGAGGCGAAGCGAAAGCGAGUGUGAAAAGCGCGAGGAAGUUGCUGGUGAUAGACCCGAAGCGGAGGUGAUCUACACUUGAGCAGGUUGAAGCUGUGGUAACACACAGUGGAGGACCGAACUGGUGAACGUUGAAAAGUUCUGAGAUGACUUGAGUGUAGGAGCGAAAGACUAAUCAAACCCCGUAAUAGCUGGUUCUCUCCGAAAUCGCUUGAGGGCGAGUGUUGAAUAAGUACUCCAUGGAGGUAGAGCACUGGAUGGCUUAGGGGCCUUACCGGGCUGCCAAAACCAAUCAAACUCCGAAUACCAUGGACCCCAUUAAUUCAGCAGUCAGGCAGUGGGGGAUAAGCUUCAUUGCCGAGAGGAAAACAGUCCAGACCGUCAGCUAAGGUGCCCCAACAAGGUUAAGUGGAAAGGAUGUGACGUCGCGAAGACAGUGAGGAUGUUGGCUUAGAGGCAGCCAUCAUUUAAACAGUGCGUAACAGCUGACUCAUCGAGCGAUGCCGCGCCGAAAAUGAUUGGCGAUAAAACCUUGUACCGAAGCUACGGAUUCUCAAAGACUAAGGUUUUUGGGAGUGGUAGGAGAGCGUAGUUGCAGCGCUGAAGCCGAAGGGAGACCUGAGGUGGAGCGGCAACUAGUGAGAAUGCAGACACGAGUAGCGAUAAAUCAGAUGAGAAUUCUGAUCGCCGAAAACCUAAGGUUUCCUGGGGCAGGUUCGUCCUCCCAGGCUUAGCCGGGAGCUAAGGCCAGGCCGUAAGGCGUAGCCGAUGCACAGAAGGUCAAUAAUCCUUCGCCGGGCCGGGGUUAGGUUAAGAUGACGCAAGCACGGGAAAACGGGUUAAGUGAGCGGAUUCACAGCGCGGAAUAAUAGCCGCGCGUUCCCGCGGACCCCUUGCCGAGAAAAGUCUUAACUGUGCUCCCCGGUUCGCCCGUACCGUAAACCGACACAGGUGGGUGAGAUGAGUAUUCUAAGGCGCGCGAGAGAAACCUCUCUAAGGAACUAGGCAAAAUAGCCCCGUAACUUCGGGAAAAGGGGUGCCCACCGCAAGGUGGGCCACAGUAAAUGGAGCUUUGCGACUGUUUAACAAAAGCAUAGCGCUCUGCCAAGUUGAUAAAACAACGUAUAGGGCGUGACACGUGACCAAUGCGAAAAGAUGAAGGCAACUUGUUAGGUGGUUUAGUAAUAGACUGCCGAAGCUCGGACCCCAAGUCCUCGUGAAUGUCGGCCGUAACUAUAACGGUCCUAAGGUAGCGAAAUUCCUUGUCGG
This 1928-nucleotide ribosomal RNA is filed under the name activated sludge metagenome. RNAcentral's name for it is "bacterial LSU rRNA". It matches the Rfam family "Bacterial large subunit ribosomal RNA", at positions 3 to 1975 of the family's 2925-position model. The record is from RNAcentral.